GCCGCGUGAGCGAAGAAGGCCUUCGGGUCGUAAAGCUCUGUCCUAAGGGAAGAAUAAUGACGGUACCUUAGGAGGAAGCCCCGGCUAACUACGUGCCAGCAGCCGCGGUAAUACGUAGGGGGCGAGCGUUAUCCGGAAUCAUUGGGCGUAAAGGGUGCGUAGGCGGCCAAACAAGCCAGAGGUGAAAGGCUACGGCUCAACCGUAGUAAGCCUUUGGAACUGUAUGGCUUGAGUGCAGGAGAGGAGAGUGGAAUUCCUAGUGUAGCGGUGAAAUGCGUAGAUAUUAGGAGGAACACCAGUGGCGAAGGCGACUCUCUGGACUG
Molecule: ribosomal RNA, 323 nt
Filed under: uncultured bacterium
Lineage: Bacteria
Description: bacterial SSU rRNA
Rfam family: Bacterial small subunit ribosomal RNA
Source: RNAcentral